GUUUGCAGGGUUUAUCAAGGGCGAAGUUAUCAGAUACAUUAGAACAACAAAUCAUGAUGUUGAUUUACAAUAUAUUUUGUUACAGUUCAGAUUGACCUUAAUAAAGAGAGGAUACAAGGAUAUUGAAAUCGAAAAGUACAUAACUGAGGCAUUAUCAUUUAAUAGAUCUGAUUUAGUCAGAAAAAAGGCCAAACAAAACACAAAGGAAGUUCCUUUAGUAUUGGCAACGAAAUUUAAUCCAUGCAUUCAUAAAUUAAAACAAUGCAUUAGUAAACAUUGAGAUCUACUAAAACAGGAUGCAGUUUGCAACGAAAUAUUUUCAAGCAAACCAAUAAUAGCUUAUAAAAAGCAUAACAAUAUUGCAGACAUAUUGACAACGACAAC
RNAcentral lists this long non-coding RNA (384 nucleotides) under Mytilus galloprovincialis (Mediterranean mussel). The record is from RNAcentral. Lineage: Eukaryota; Metazoa; Mollusca; Bivalvia; Mytilida; Mytilidae.